UCUGUGUAUGUUUUCGCUUGAUGGACCGCGUAACUUGCGACACAGCAAGCAGCCAAGUUAGUCAUAAUCUCGAGUUAAAUGGGCAGUUGCUAAUCCAAAUUAUAUAUUUUGGGGAUUACUACUGCUAUUUAAUGAUAUGUUUUAUAGCGCAAUUGAUCAGUGAGCAGCUCUCUCUUGCCUAUAAGAAGACCAGGAGACGUCCAGAAAACACACAAGAAAAACCAUCCACAUUCUUUUCUUUCUUUUCCUGCUGGUGAACUGUGCUGUGGUGCUGAGCUGCUAGUUCUCGCCGUCUCUUCUCCUUGGCGGGCACUGAGGAGAAGAGUGAGCGGUAUCUCCGAGCCGUUGCCGUCGUGAAGCCUGCAUGAGGGACGGCAAUAAGGUUUCUGGGCAGCGCAACUGCGCGACCGCUCGAAGCUGAUCGACUACGUUCUGCGCUGCUACAAUCUGCACUGCAUCGUCUCUUCACGAGGAAGGAGCGCAGAUCUCUCUCACGGAGAAAGCCAAACUGCUUGGCUGGCUGAUCAGAGAUUACCUGUAACCUGCAUCGAUUAAGUGUGAAGGCUGAUGAAGAGUGAAGACCUAAUGAUUCGUCAGCUAGCGUUCAUUACAAACAAGAGAAAACACGCAACCUAUAUUCACAUGGUCACCCUGAUGGUUGGUUUCGGUGUUUUCCUCAUCACGCCAUGACGGCAUCAUGCAGAUGGAGAUCGAUCUGAAAGCAUCACGUUUACCUAGCAGCAGGUAGCUGUUGCCCGUUGCCACCUGCUGCUUAAUUCUCGCUACUUGCACGCGCCGGCGGCCCAUGUUCCCAUCGUGCGCCGUGUUUGGAUGGCUCCCGAAAAAAUUUUCAUGAAAUUUUUUCGACCUUUGACCACUAAUUAGAGGUAUUAAAUAAAGUUUAAUUACGAAAUCACCUCCACAACUAUGGUAUUGUAGCAGUUGCUGUAGUUAAUGAGACCUUUGACCGCACAAUCUGAGAAUGAUUAGGUGUGGUUACUGUAGCAUCACUAUAGUCAAUUAUGAUGGAACUUGGCUCAUUAGAUUCGUCUCGAAAAGUUACACCCAUCUAUAAAAAGUUUCGUAAAUAAACUUCGUUUAGUACUCCAUAAAUCUAUUCGUCUUUUUUGAAGAAAAAAAAUUCGGAGUAUGAAUCAAACACGGCCGUGUUAUCCUUCCGUUUAACAGGAAGCGAUGGCAGCAAGUGGAAUUCAUGGUUUAGGAGGGAGUCCAAUCAGGUACACGAGCGUCGCCGUGUAGUUUAAGAUGAGACACGAGACGUUAGGGCGCGGAUUGAUCUCGAUAGCAGCGCUAGCUCUGGAGUACCUAGCAUUUUGACCUCUAGCAAGGUGUAAUGAAAGAAAAAUUAGGUUUCGGCGACAUCAGCAACAGUGAUACGAUGACAUCUAGCGGUGGCGGCGUGAACGUACAGUGCCGCCAGCUACCACCGAUUUGCACGGCAUGUUUCACAGCGGACGAACUGUAAAGGCACGCCACUAAACACACAUGUCAUGGCAACAAGCAAGCUUGGGCAACCUCUGAUGGCGAUGAUGAUGAUCAGGACAUGAGUGCUGGGACGGAUUACAAUAUGCCAUCAAGUUGUUUGUCGACUUGCCGUACUAGCAAGUAGCAGCCCCACGUACGGCUUUUCAUUACUAAAAUCUGUCCUUGUAGCAAACACUGUUCGAGACGUUGUCUUCUAAUCCUAAUUAAACACUUCCAAACCCGAUCCAACCUCUCCCUCUCUCGAAGUCUCUCCGCUGCUACAGCGGCGAAAAGGAGUCCUCGCGUCCCCGCCGGUGGUCUCCUCCGCCUCCGAUGGCCCGACGGGCAUCCUGAGGUGGCGGAGACCGCUGGAUUCUCGCCGGCUGGUAGGUUAGGUCCUAGUAGGUCUAGAGUUUGGUUUCCCGGCGCGGUGUCGUUGAGGCGGAGACAACGGCGGCGUCAUGGAAUAAGUCCUCUCGGACUCUCCCUCGUCUCGUCGACGUUUCACUCCGACGUCGACGACGAGCCCGUGGAGGUGGAGUCCGGCUUUGCCGGCUCCUGUCUAGGAGUCUGCGGCGGCGGCUGCUUCGUCGAUGUGGUGGAGCGGCAGUGCUCGUGCCGCGUUUUUGCUUGGCUGCGGGGGAAGCUGUGGGUGAUGUGGACUGGGGGAGAGCGGAUCGACCUCGACUUCUCCUCGGCGACGGUCGACGACGAGCGUCGAUUCGAGAUCUGCGAAGCUUGGGGCGCGUCCCCGGCCGAUGCUCCUUCAACGGCGGAAUCGGCCAGGCCUUCGUGUCGGGCAGUUAUUGCGGCUCGCUGAAGCCUGCGUGCGAUGGAGCUUCGUCAGAUCGUGGUGGUGGUGACGGCGGUUGCGGCGGCGGAUUUGUCCGUUACCGUUGUUGCAAGGGGAAAGGGUCCAGGGACCUGUCUGUAAUUUUUUUUUGUUGAGGCCCUUUCUGCAAAGUUUGGAGGGACAGCUCUCCUCUAUAUCCUUGAUGUAUCUGUAUUCGUACGGUCUGUGUACGUUUGCCUUACCUCUUAAAACAGGUAUGUUUGAUAAAAAAAAACACUUCCAACGGCACCAGAGAACUGGUGAUCUACAGUCA
Long non-coding RNA from Panicum virgatum (switchgrass), 2591 nucleotides. RefSeq lists it as uncharacterized. NCBI's taxonomy places the organism in Eukaryota, Viridiplantae, Streptophyta, Magnoliopsida, Poales, Poaceae. The record is from RefSeq and is a predicted model, not a curated record. The transcript has 2 exons.